RNAcentral lists this ribosomal RNA (497 nucleotides) under uncultured bacterium. RNAcentral describes it as "partial 16S ribosomal RNA". It matches the Rfam family "Bacterial small subunit ribosomal RNA", at positions 28 to 507 of the family's 1533-position model. The record is from RNAcentral.
GAUGAACGCUGGCGGCGUGCCUAAUACAUGCAAGUCGAGCGAACAGACGAUGCGCUUGCUCCUCUGAUGUUAGCGGCGGACGGGUGAGUAACACGUGGAUAACCUACCUAUAAGACUGGGAUAACUUCGGGAAACCGGAGCUAAUACCGGAUAACAUGUUGAACCGCAUGGUUCAACAGUGAAAGACGGUUUUGCUGUCACUUCUAGAUGGAUCCGCGCCGCAUUAGCUAGUUGGUAAGGUAACGGCUUACCAAGGCAACGAUGCGUAGCCGACCUGAGAGGGUGAUCGGCCACACUGGGACUGAGACACGGUCCAGACUCCUACGGGAGGCAGAAGUAGGGAAUCUUCCGAAAUGGGCGAAAGCCUGACGGAGCAACGCCGCGUGAGUGAAGAAGGUCUGCGGAUCGUAAAACUCUGUUAUGAGGGAAGAACAAAUGUGUAAGUAACUAUGCACGUCUUGACGGUACCUAAUCAGAAAGCCACGGCUAACUACGUG